Molecule: transfer RNA, 74 nt
Filed under: Actinomycetales bacterium
Lineage: Bacteria; Bacillati; Actinomycetota; Actinomycetes; Actinomycetales
Also listed under: 2 other names
Description: tRNA-Gly
Rfam family: tRNA
About the family: Transfer RNA (tRNA) molecules are approximately 80 nucleotides in length.
Source: RNAcentral
GCGGGUGUAGCUCAGUGGUAGAGCGCUAGCUUCCCAAGCUAGAUAUGCGGGUUCGAUUCCCGUCACCCGCUCCA